CCUACGGGUGGCAGCAGUGAGGAAUAUUGGUCAAUGGACGCGAGCCUGAACCAGCCAAGUAGCGUGAAGGAUGACUGCCCUACGGGUUGUAAACUUCUUUUAUAAAGGAAUAAAGUGAGGCACGUGUGCCUUUUUGUAUGUACUUUAUGAAUAAGGAUCGGCUAACUCCGUGCCAGCAGCCGCGGUAAUACGGAGGAUCCGAGCGUUAUCCGGAUUUAUUGGGUUUAAAGGGAGCGUAGAUGGGUUGUUAAGUCAGUUGUGAAAGUUUGCGGCUCAACCGUAAAAUUGCAAUUGAUACUGGCAGUCGUGAGUACAGUUGAGGUAGGCGGAAUUCGUGGUGUAGCGGUGAAAGGCUUAGAUAUCACGAAGAACUCCGAUUGCGAAGGCAGCCUACUAAACUGCCACUGACACUGAUGCACGAAAGUGUGGGGAUCAAACAGGAUUAGAUACCCGAGUAGUC
Molecule: ribosomal RNA, 460 nt
Filed under: uncultured bacterium
Lineage: Bacteria
Description: partial 16S ribosomal RNA
Rfam family: Bacterial small subunit ribosomal RNA
Source: RNAcentral